GUGUUCCCUUUGGCGGCACAUAUACUAAAAUUGGAAUGAUAUGGAGAAGACGAGCCUUGCCCUGCACAAGGAUGACACACAAAAAUAGUCUCCAGAACUAAACUCAA
Molecule: small nuclear RNA, 107 nt
Organism: Panthera pardus (leopard)
Lineage: Eukaryota; Metazoa; Chordata; Mammalia; Carnivora; Felidae
Source: Ensembl